GACGAACGCUGGCGGCGUGCUUAACACAUGCAAGUCGAACGGUGACGAGGAGCUUGCUCCUCUGAUCAGUGGCGAACGGGUGAGUAACACGUGAGCAACCUGCCCCAGACUCUGGGAUAACAGUUGGAAACAGCUGCUAAUACCGGAUACGAGACGGAGAGGCAUCUCUACCGUCUGGAAAGUUUUUCGGUCUGGGAUGGACUCGCGGCCUAUCAGCUAGUUGGUGAGGUAAUGGCUCACCAAGGCGACGACGGGUAGCCGGCCUGAGAGGGCGACCGGCCACACUGGGACUGAGACACGGCCCAGACUCCUACGGGAGGCAGCAGUGGGGAAUAUUGCACAAUGGGCGAAAGCCUGAUGCAGCGACGCCGCGUGAGGGAUGACGGCCUUCGGGUUGUAACCUCUUUCAGCAGGAAGAAGACGAAAGUGACGGUACCUGCAGAAGAAGACGACCGGCUAACUACGUGCCAGCAGCCGACGGUAAAGUGU
This 489-nucleotide ribosomal RNA is filed under the name uncultured bacterium. RNAcentral's name for it is "bacterial SSU rRNA". It matches the Rfam family "Bacterial small subunit ribosomal RNA", at positions 28 to 528 of the family's 1533-position model. The record is from RNAcentral.